GAUGAACGCUGGCGGCGUGCCUAAUACAUGCAAGUCGAGCGAACGGACGAGAAGCUUGCUUCUCGGAUGUUAGCGGCGGACGGGUGAGUAACACGUGGAUAACCCACCUAUAAUACUGGUAUAACUUCGGGAAACCGGAUCUAAUACCGUAUAAUAUUUUGAACCGCAUGGUUCAAAAGAGAAAGACGGUCUUGCUGGCACUUAUCGAUGGAUCCGCGCUGCAUUAGCUAGUUGGUAAGGUAACGGCUUAUCAAGGCAACGAUGCAUAGCCGACCGGUGAGGCUGGUCGGCGACACGGGAACUGAGACGCGGUCAAGACUCCUAAGGGAGGCCGCAGUAGGGAAUCGUACGCAGUGGGCGAGAGCCUGACGGAGCAACGCCGAGUGAGUGACGAAGGUGUUCGGAUCGUAAAACUCUGUUAUGAGGGAAGAACAUAUGUGUAAGGUACUGUGCACAGCUUGACGGUAACUAAUAAGAAAGCCACGGCUAACUACGUG
This 497-nucleotide ribosomal RNA is filed under the name uncultured bacterium. RNAcentral describes it as "partial 16S ribosomal RNA". It matches the Rfam family "Bacterial small subunit ribosomal RNA", at positions 28 to 507 of the family's 1533-position model. The record is from RNAcentral.